This is a long non-coding RNA of Gallus gallus (chicken), 768 nucleotides long. RefSeq lists it as uncharacterized. The transcript is spliced from 3 exons. Lineage: Eukaryota; Metazoa; Chordata; Aves; Galliformes; Phasianidae. The record is from RefSeq and is a predicted model, not a curated record.
UGUACAUUCCCCGUUUCUGUGAAAUGAUUGGCUUUGUGCAAUUUGGUGAGGAAGCAGAUCUUUAUUUAUUUAUUUAUUUAUUUAUUUAUUUAUUUAUUAAGAGAUGAAGAGGUUUCACUCAUAAAAAGAUGGUCUCUGCAGGAAGAGUCCUCCUCUGGUACUUCACUGCCUCUGAAGAUGCUGAGCCAAGGAGCCUGAGAGUAGUGCAUUGCAUGCACUAUGCCUCAAGACUCCCUGAGUUCCAAAGAUCUUCUGGGAACCUCAUUCCAGAAGUAAAGCAGAGUGAUCUGUCCAGGGAACUGGCUCCAGUCUUUCAGGUAUGAUGUCAUAAUGAGUUUCUGGGACAGUCCUGGCUUUCCCAGCACCUCUGUCCUGGAUUAGUGCUGGGAGUCAGAGCCAGAGCAUUUAUGUUGUGGGAUCUUUGGUUUAUCUGCUUUGAAGAACAUCUGUAGCAGAAGAACGAGGACUGUGUCUGCUCUAUAGUCUCAGAGGAAGGCAGUAAAAGAUGACACAGCGGCUUCUUGCUGUCUCAUACUGAAUGCACCACCUGCGAAGAUAUGACUGAAGGCAAAAAGAAGGCAGUCUUCAUGGAGAGAAAACUUAACCCUUGCUAAAGGGGGUGUUUCAAAAGGCUGAAGUGCUAUUCACAUGAAAAAAAUGAGAAGGAUCAUAAACUCUAACAGAUUAAAUGUAUAAAUAAAACUUAACUGUCCAAAAGAGUUUGAGGAACAACUCACAGAAGUAAUAAAUCUUCAAAUGCAUCAAGAA